Molecule: transfer RNA, 76 nt
Filed under: Bacteroides xylanisolvens
Lineage: Bacteria; Pseudomonadati; Bacteroidota; Bacteroidia; Bacteroidales; Bacteroidaceae
Also listed under: 6 other names
Description: tRNA-Thr(cgt)
Rfam family: tRNA
About the family: Transfer RNA (tRNA) molecules are approximately 80 nucleotides in length.
Source: RNAcentral
GCCGGUAUAGCUCAGCUGGUAGAGCGGCGCAUUCGUAAUGCGUAGGUCGCAGGUUCAAAUCCUGUUGCCGGCUCCA